AGGAACUAAACAGAUCCCUUAGUAAUGGCGAACGAACAGGGAUCAGCUUGGUUGGAAACCGGGGCUUCUGCCUUGGAUUGUGGCCUUUAGACAUACUACCAACGGCGGCGCGAGCGUAAGCCUCUUGGAACAGAGCGUCUACCUAGGUGAGAAUCCUGUGUUUCGCUUGAUGCCCGCCGUGCACGGUACUUGCUCUCAGAGUCACGCUCCUCGGAAUUGGAGCGUAAAUUGGGUGGUAAAUUUCAUCUAAAGCUAAAUACAGGCUCGAGACCGAUAGCAAACAAGUACCAUGAGGGAAAGAUGAAAAGGACUUUGAAAAGAGAGUUAAAAGUGCUUGAAAUCGCUGAACUGGAAGCGAAUGGAACUAGUGCUCUGGUUGAGAUUGCUGCAGGUGGCUGCAAAAUCUGGGCUCUGGAAUGCAAAUCCUUGGUCUAGUUUGGAGUAGUUGCUUGCAAUGUGUCUCAGCUUGAACAUCAACUUUCAUGCAUGCGUGAGGAUGGCCCUUGGCUCAUGCUGUCUUACUGCGGUGAAAUUCUUGUGCCUUUUGGGAUUCAGGCGUGUGUGGACUGUUGAUCAAUUAGUUCCAUUCGACCCGUCUUGAAACACGGACCAAGGAGUCUAGCACUUGUGCAAGUCCUCAGGUGUCAAACCUCUGUGCGCAAUGAAGGUGACUGCUGGGAUUUUUGCACCAGCAACCGACCAAUCAAUUGGGAGAAGUUUGAGUAAGAGCAUGUGUGUUAGGACCCGAAAGAUGGUGA
Molecule: ribosomal RNA, 758 nt
Filed under: Symbiodinium sp. clade A
Lineage: Eukaryota; Dinophyceae; Suessiales; Symbiodiniaceae
Description: eukaryotic LSU rRNA
Rfam family: Eukaryotic large subunit ribosomal RNA
Source: RNAcentral